RNAcentral lists this ribosomal RNA (510 nucleotides) under uncultured Glomeromycotina. RNAcentral describes it as "SSU rRNA". It matches the Rfam family "Eukaryotic small subunit ribosomal RNA", at positions 569 to 1078 of the family's 1831-position model. The record is from RNAcentral. Lineage: Eukaryota; Fungi; Glomeromycota.
AGCAGCCGCGGUAAUUCCAGCUCCAAUAGCGUAUAUUAAAGUUGUUGCAGUUAAAAAGCUCGUAGUUGAACCUCGGGGUCUACCCAUUGGUCAGGCUUAAUUGUCUGCACUGGUGAGAUGGAUCUCUACCUUCUGAGGAACUUUCAUGCCAUUUAUUUGGUGUGAUGGGAAAUCAGGACUGUUACUUUGAAAAAAUUAGAGUGUUUAAAGCAGACUAUCGUCUGAAUACAUUAGCAUGGAAUAAUGAAAUAGGACGGACUGAUUCUAUUUCGUUGGUUUCUAGGAUCACCGUAAUGAUUAAUAGGGAUAGUUGGGGGCAUUAGUAUUCAAUUGUCAGAGGUGAAAUUCUUGGAUUUAUUGAAGACUAACUACUGCGAAAGCAUUUGCCAAGGAUGUUUUCAUUAAUCAAGAACGAAAGUUAGGGGAUCGAAGACGAUCAGAUACCAUCGUAGUCUUAACCAUAAACUAUGCCGACUAGGGAUCGGACGAAGUUAAUUUUAUAAUGACGCG